UCAGCGUGGUUCUAAGAAUUUAAAACCAGUCUGGAAGAAAAACAACAUUUAAGUUUUAUUCUAGAGUAUCAUGAGACUCAUAAGAUACCCUAGGUCUUCGGGGCUUCCUCUUCGGUGAGUUCCUGCUGGCUUUCUGAAAACAACAACAAGGGAUCCCCUGAGUACGAAGUACUCAGCAAGUCUUACCCGACUAACCAAUAUAAUAGUUUUCUU
This 213-nucleotide long non-coding RNA is filed under the name Setaria italica (foxtail millet). RNAcentral's name for it is "long non-coding RNA (SITA_LNC005073)". Lineage: Eukaryota; Viridiplantae; Streptophyta; Magnoliopsida; Poales; Poaceae. The record is from RNAcentral.